This 440-nucleotide ribosomal RNA is filed under the name uncultured bacterium. Its description in RNAcentral is "partial 16S ribosomal RNA". It matches the Rfam family "Bacterial small subunit ribosomal RNA", at positions 338 to 795 of the family's 1533-position model. The record is from RNAcentral.
CCUACGGGAGGCAGCAGUAGGGAAUAUUGCUCAAUGGGGGAAACCCUGAAGCAGCAACGCCGCGUGGAGGAUGAAGGUUUUCGGAUUGUAAACUCCUUUUGUUAGAGAAGAUAAUGACGGUCUCUAACGCAUAAGCACCGGCUAUUUCCGUGCCAGCAGCCGCGGUACUACGGAGGGUGCACGCGUUACUCGGAAUAUCUGGGCGUAAAGAGCGCGUAGGCGGGAUAGCAAGUCAGAUGUGAAAUCCUAUGGCUUAACCAUAGAACUGCAUUUGAAACUGGUAUUCUAGAGUAUGGGAGAGGUAGGUGGAAUUCGUGGUGUAGGGGUAAAAUGCGUAGAGAUCAAGAGGAAUACUCAUUGCGAAGGCGACCUGCUAGAACAUAACUGACGCUGAUGCGCGAAAGCGUGGGGAGCAAACAGGAUUAGAUACCCCAGUAGUC